GGGGGGAGCGCGCCGCGCACCCGGAAGCGCCCAGAGCGCCGCGCGCCGCCCGCCCGGAAGCGCUUCCGGGAAUGCUAAUGAAUGAUGGUGGUACGAGCAGUUCAUGAACACAUGGAAGCCGGAGCGAAAAGACUGAAGAAAACUGCAAAGUAGAGGAGAAUCAGGAAUUUAGAUGCUGUGGAUCCUGAACAUGAAGAACCAAAGAAAUAGUGACUCCACAUCCGAGAAGAGUAAAAAUUGAUUUAUGAAGAGGAAGAAUAAUCUUUGUUAUGUUACUUAAAAUCUGGUUACAGUGUUUUUUUACUAAUUGUUAUUUAUCUUCAAUAACAAGUUAUCAUAAUGAAAAUAAAGUUUUUAUGGAGGAUUUAUUAAGAUUGCAUCCUACCUAGGAACUCAUGAGGAUAUCCUUUUUUCUCCCAGUAAUUAUCGAACAAGCUCCCAAGUCAAGAGUUUUAUAUCUUAGACUUUUCAAGGUAGAAUAACAGUCAGUCUUCCAUAUCCAUCCAAAACCUCUCUGGCAAUUAAUUUUUCAGACCUCCUCUGCAUAUCAUACAAAUGCAAUAUUGUCAGACGGGCAUCACCUUCCAGCACUUCCUCUGUACCUAACACAUCCACACAAAAACAGCCUUCCAAAUUGCUGGUGGUUGGGUCAACAGUCAUUUUUCCCUGUUAAAAUUCUCCAAUUUGUUUCCAAGC
This is a long non-coding RNA of Dromaius novaehollandiae (emu), 696 nucleotides long. RefSeq lists it as uncharacterized. The transcript is spliced from 3 exons. The record is from RefSeq and is a predicted model, not a curated record. NCBI's taxonomy places the organism in Eukaryota, Metazoa, Chordata, Aves, Casuariiformes, Dromaiidae.